RNAcentral lists this ribosomal RNA (1180 nucleotides) under metagenome. RNAcentral's name for it is "SSU rRNA". It matches the Rfam family "Eukaryotic small subunit ribosomal RNA", at positions 558 to 1759 of the family's 1831-position model. The record is from RNAcentral.
AGUCUGGUGCCAGCAGCCGCGGUAAUUCCAGCUCCAACGGCGUAUAUUAACGUUGUUGCAGUUAAAAAGCUCGUAGUUGAAGUUAUGAUAUGUCCUUUUAAAUUUCUGCAUUUUUGCCUUCGGGUGAUGGUGUAGUGUUUUUAGGCAUGUCGUAUUUUUGCUGUUUUGAUGUAAGUGACUUCACUGUUGCUUGCAGCUUGCAGCAUAUUACUGUGAAAAAAUUAGAGUGUUCCAAGCAGAUGUAUAUCUGAAUAGUUCAGCAUGGAAUAAUGGAAUAGGGGAGAUUGCCCUAUCGUUGGUUUUGGGGUGAUUUCUGAUGAUGAAUAGGGACAGCUGGGGGCAUUAGUAUUUAAUUGUCAGAGGUGAAAUUCGAGGAUUUAUGAAAGACUAACUUCUGCGAAGGCAUUUGCCAAGGAUGUUUUCAUUGAUCAAGAACGAAAGUUAGGGGAUCGAAGACGAUCAGAUACCGUCGUAGUCUUAACCAUAAACGAUGCCGACUAGGGCUGAGUCUUUUUAGAUUCGGACCUUUAGAGAAAUCGCAAGUUUUUGGGUUCUGGGGGGAGUAUGGUCGCAAGGCUGAAACUUAAAGGAAUUGACGGAAGGGCACCACCAGAAGUGGAGCCUGCGGCUUAAUUUGACCCAACACGGGGAAACUCACCAGGUCCAGACAUAGAGAGGAUUGACAGAUUGAGAGCUCUUUCUCGAUCCUAUGGAAAGUGGUGCAUGGCCGUUCUUAGUUGGUGGAGUGAUUUGUCUGGUUAAUUCCGUUAACGAACGAGACCUCAAGAGAGUGUUUUGUGCUUCCUUAUCAAAGGAAUGUCUAUCCGCUCUCGACUAUCGGUUCUUAAGCCGAAGGAAGGUUGAGGCAAUAACAGGUCUGUGAUGCCCUUAGAUGUUCUGGGCUGCACGCGCGCUACACUGAUAGAGGCAAAAAGUGGGACAUUUGCCUUGUUCGGAAGGACUGGGUAAUCUUGCGAAACUCUAUCGUGCUGGGGAUAGAUCUUUGUAAUUAUCGAUCUUCAACGAGGAAUUCCUAGUAAGCGCGAGUCAUCAGCUCGCGUUGAUUACGUCCCUGCCCUUUGUACACACCGCCCGUCGCUACUACCGAUUGAAUGGUUUAGUGAGGUUGGGGGAGGCGGGUCAUUUAUGACUCUUCCUAACAGAAAUUGCCGAACCUUAU